UACGGGGGGGGCAAGCGUUGUUCGGAAUUACUGGGCGUAAAGGGCCAGUAGGCGGCCAACUAAGUCGGAUGUGAAAUCCCCAGGCUCAACUUGGGAACUGCAUCCGAUACUGGAUGGCUUGAAUUCGGGAGAGGGAUGCAGAAUUCCAGGUGUAGCGGUGAAAUGCGUAGAUAUCUGGAGGAAUACCGGUGGCGAAGGCGGCUACCUGGCACAUAACUGACGCUGAUACGCGAAAGCGUGGGGAGCGAACCGG
RNAcentral lists this ribosomal RNA (253 nucleotides) under uncultured bacterium. RNAcentral describes it as "partial 16S ribosomal RNA". It matches the Rfam family "Bacterial small subunit ribosomal RNA", at positions 524 to 776 of the family's 1533-position model. The record is from RNAcentral.